UCUUCCUUCACUAUACACUACUUCCCUCCUCCUCCUCUCUCUUUUUAUCUUCUUUCCUCUUUGUGUAGUUGAGGAAUCCUUCCAUGAACAGGUUGAAGAGUUAAAGUCAUUUCAUAAGAAGGAGGUUCAUGAGUUACAGUCCAGACAUGAUAAGGAGCUGAUGGAGAUGCAUUCAAGUUACCAGUCAUCAAUUGAAAAAUUGAGACAAGAGAUUUCUCACAAAAGGAGUUAAUAGAGAAGUACUAAUACUAGUUUCAUUAGAUCAUUAUCAUUAUUAUUAUUGUGGUAUAAUAUUGUUUUAUUUAUCUUUUUAUAACUUUUCUCUCUGUUUGAUAUAAGAACUGCAGAUUAUAGACAUGUAA
Molecule: long non-coding RNA, 362 nt
Organism: Amphimedon queenslandica
Lineage: Eukaryota; Metazoa; Porifera; Demospongiae; Haplosclerida; Niphatidae
Exons: 3
Source: RefSeq, a predicted model, not a curated record